This 241-nucleotide ribosomal RNA is filed under the name uncultured Eubacteriales bacterium. RNAcentral's name for it is "uncultured Clostridiales bacterium partial 16S ribosomal RNA". It matches the Rfam family "Bacterial small subunit ribosomal RNA", at positions 796 to 1041 of the family's 1533-position model. The record is from RNAcentral. Lineage: Bacteria; Bacillati; Bacillota; Clostridia; Eubacteriales.
CACGCCGUAAACGAUGAAUGCUAGGUGUUGGGGGUCAAACCUCGGUGCCGAAGUUAACACAUUAAGCAUUCCGCCUGGGGAGUACGGUGGCAACACUGAAACUCAAAGGAAUUGACGGGGACCCGCACAAGCAGCGGAGCAUGUGGUUUAAUUCGAUGCAACGCGAAGAACCUUACCAAGGCUUGACAUGCACCGGUACAGUGUAGAGAUAUGCUGGCCUUUUGGGCUGGUGUGCAGGUGG